GGUAGAUACUAUUAUUAUUUCCAUAUUGCAGUUGAAGAAACUGAGGAAGAUACAGCCAGGGUCACAUAGCUAGUAAGUAGCUAAGGUUGGAUUUGAACUCAGUCCUUUCUGCUUCCAGGUCCAGCAGCUUUAAAUACCAGGUGACAGAAUUUGAACUGGACUUGGUAGGCAAUAGAGGGCCAUUGAAAGGUUUUGAAGAGUGGCAAGCUGUGACCAUAUCUAUGCAUGAAGAUUAGCCUGGCAGCAUGUGAAGGAUGGAUGGGAAGAGUUUGGUGAAGGCACUUCUCUUAGAGUCUUUCCAGGCCCUUGCCGCCUCUCCCUGUGCUCCCCAUCAUACAAAUGUGCCUCAUUGAAAUCCCAAGAACUACAAAGGCCCUGAUCUCAGCACUCUGGGGCACAUCAGCUCCCACCUCCCCACUGGGUCUCUGGAUGCCCCGAGGUCAACUACGUUGCCAGUUUUGCCCCAGUGGCUCUAGGACAGAGCAGAUUCGUGGUCAGGACCACAUAAUUCCUGGCCAUCCCUGCCACCAGGUAGGCUUCCAGACACUUCCUGGGACAGAGUAACAUUUCAAGUGGGCGGCUGAAGGCAUUGCUAAAACAUGUAGGGCUGAUUCUGGCUGAUUUCAGUUACACUUUCUGAACUUAUUCCUCGAUGGGUAGCAACUCCCACAUCCUCUUUCUCUCUCCAUCUCUGUGGUAACAACAAGAAUAAGUCCCCCUUCUCAACCCCAGCUGGCAGCCCCCUCAUUCCUAUCCAUCUCAUCUUUCCUCUUCCUCUCUCUCCAAUGCCCCACACCGGAUUUGUGCCCGCAGAACAACAGCUCCCUGAUAUCACUUGUUUAGUCAUGAACUCUUCCCCUCGAAUCAGAGCCUAAAAGGCAUUUCUUGCCCUGCUAAUUUAUUUAUGAUGUAACUUUUAAAAUCUAGAUCAUGUAUACAUUCAAAGUUUAUAUUGAUGUAUAGGGUAAGGGAUUGAUCUAAACCCAGUUGCUGCCCAGUUUUUCCAGCCAUUUUCAUCAAAUAAUAAGUCCUUUCCCCAAUAACUGGAGUCUGGGUUUAUCAAACAUUUUGCUACUAUAUUUGCUUCAAUCAUGUACUUAAUUGACUGGUUAGGUACUGAUGGACUUCUCUUUCUUUGAACCACUUCCCUUUUGAUGAUUUGGCACAGUGGAGAGUGCCAGGACUGGAAACAGGAAGCCUCAUCUUCCCAAACUGGCUUCAGACACUUACUAGCUGUGUGACCCUGAUCAAGCCACUUAAGCAUGUUUCUUUAUCUGUAAGAUGGGCUGGAGAAGGAAAUGGCAAGCCAUUUUAGUAUCUUUGCCAAGAAAACCCCAAAUGGAGUCACAAAGAGUCGGAUGUGCCUGAAAAGCAACUGAACAACAAAAUUCCCAAUCAGUUGGAGGCAUCUAGAUGGCUCAGUAGAUAGAGUACUGGGCCUGGAAUUAGGAAGACCUGAGUUCAAAUAUGACCUUCAACACUUACUAGCUAACUAUGUGACCCUGGGUAAGUCACUUUGUUUACCUUAAUCCCCCAGAGAAGGAAAUGGCAAACCACUUAAGUA
Molecule: long non-coding RNA, 1564 nt
Filed under: Monodelphis domestica (gray short-tailed opossum)
Lineage: Eukaryota; Metazoa; Chordata; Mammalia; Didelphimorphia; Didelphidae
Description: lncRNA (ENSMODG00000048240.1)
Source: RNAcentral